Molecule: ribosomal RNA, 460 nt
Filed under: uncultured bacterium
Lineage: Bacteria
Description: bacterial SSU rRNA
Rfam family: Bacterial small subunit ribosomal RNA
Source: RNAcentral
ACGAACGCUGGCGGCGUGCCUAACACAUGCAAGUCGAGCGAAGGGAGUACUACGGUACGAACUUAGCGGCGGACGGGUGAGUAACGCGUGGACAAUCUACCCUGUAGACUGGGAUAACACCUCGAAAGGGGUGCUAAUACCGGAUAAUGUCGAGAAGCGGCAUCGCUUUUCGAAGAAAGGAGGGAAUCCGCUAUAGGAGGAGUCCGCGUCCCAUUAGCUAGUUGGUGAGGGUAACGGCCCACCAAGGCGACGAUGGGUAGCCGGCCUGAGAGGGUGAACGGCCACACUGGAACUGAGACACGGUCCAGACUCCUACGGGAGGCAGCAGUGGGGAAUAUUGUGCAAUGGGGGAAACCCUGACACAGCGACGCCGCGUGAGUGAAGAAGGCCUUCGGGUCGUAAAGCUCAAUAGUAUGGGAAGAUAAUGACGGUACCAUACGAAAGCCCCGGCUAACUACGU